UUUAAAGUGAUGUUUUAAAUAUCGGUUUUUGGUUGUGUUUUUCAAUACUUUAAAAUUUCGAAAGUUGUGAAUUUAUAUAAUUAAAAAUCAUUUUAGACCAAUUGAUAUGAUCACACGUACUGUUCAGGAAUCCCAAGAAACCCCGACGAGUAUUUAACCGUCGAUUACACUCAACAGUCAUUUACUUGUUUUGGGGUUGAGAAAUUACUAUUGUUUAACACACACAUGGAGCUGAGACAAGCACAUGCAUUGCGUAAUGCCGGGCGAGGUAGAAACUUCAAAAUGAAACUUACUUCUGGAAUUGUCCGCACAUGCAGGGAGCGGAUUGAAGGAGAUUGUUGCUCUCGCAGUCGCGGACCGAAUUGACGACCACAUUGCGUGUGAAGCCGGCAAAGUAACGCAACAGUUUUCCCGUGCGUAGUAUGGAUGCCAUUGUGCACUAUUUACGUUAUUCAAAAAAACAAUAUUACAAAUUUAACACCAGCUAAAUGCAGGGCCAGCGCACACCGCAGGGUGACCUAAACAUGAAUUCCAAAUAAUACCAAAAAACUGAGAUAAAUAUAUAAAACAUUGCUUGUACGGUCACACUAUGAAAUCACAAAACUGUGCGGUUUGGAGACUACUUGCCAGGGCUGCAACAGCGUAUACCAAGGCAUACAUGUUCUAGAUAUCGUAGAUAUUUUUCAUAGGCACAGAAUAACGUGCUUUUUACGGUCGUUUAGAAAAGUACAGAUAGCAAUUGUUCGGUACUUUUUAUCGGCUACAAACAUAAAUCCUAUUUAAAUGAACUCCUAGAUAAUAAAAAAAUUUAAC
This is a long non-coding RNA of Drosophila nasuta, 813 nucleotides long. RefSeq lists it as uncharacterized. The transcript has 3 exons. NCBI's taxonomy places the organism in Eukaryota, Metazoa, Arthropoda, Insecta, Diptera, Drosophilidae. The record is from RefSeq and is a predicted model, not a curated record.